This 8346-nucleotide long non-coding RNA is filed under the name Vitis vinifera (wine grape). RNAcentral describes it as "long non-coding RNA (VVIN_LNC004298)". The record is from RNAcentral. Lineage: Eukaryota; Viridiplantae; Streptophyta; Magnoliopsida; Vitales; Vitaceae.
UUCAAGGGAGCUUCAGAGAGAAAACCAGGGGGGUUUCAGAGAGAAAACCGGGAGGAGCUUGCUGGUGAGAAUAGGGGGGAGGUCCUUGAGCUUCAGGGAGAGUAUUCGUUUAGCUUGAGAGGGAGGUCAGCUGAAGAAGAAUGGCUUGCUGAUUUCUGGCCAACCUAACUGGAGAGGAUUAUUUUCAGGUAUGUUUAUUGUGAAUUUCCCAUUUGCUUCAACUGGUAAGUUUUUCUUCUCUUAUUUUUGUUGAUUAUUAGAUGAUGUUUGUUGGUUGGGAGUAAACAUGCUCAUGUCUCUCUUUUUAAUGAUUUCUAUUGAGGACCCGUUUGGCUCUAUUUCUGUUCCCCCAUGAGAUAUCUGUAACCUUGUUUUGAUUUUUAUUUGGCACUCAUUUGAUUUCACCCACCCUCAUAUGAGCUCAUUGAUUAAUAUAUGAAAUGAGGCUUGUAUGAAUUCAUGUUGUUCCUAUUGCUUGCACUUUAUUUUUUUUGUUGUCUACCCUGUUUUUGGUACCCGUACCUGGGGUGCAUUUUUCUUCUCAUCUCUACCUAUGGUAGCAAGGAAUUACAGAGAACAGAUUCUCAGUUGGGAGAGCUACCUAGACUUCGUUAAUAGAUAUGGGAAAGUGUCAACAGCGUCAGAGUUGUUUGUCAAACGGAUGGUGAUGCUGCAGGAGCUUUAACGCUCAUCUUCAGGGAAAUUCUGAUCAAAUGCAAGGGUCUCAAAUUGAACCCUGUAUCUAUCACAUACUUUGUCAUUCCCUGCAGUGCUCUUUGUCCCUUCAUUCGGCAGAUCUUGCUGAAGAAGCUGAGGAUGGAUGUUGUAGGAGUAUUUAUGGAAAUAAGAAGAAUUGAAACCAAUCCUACUUCUGUAGCAUUUGCUUGUGUUUUGUCUAUCUCUGCCUUUGAGAUGACGAGUAAUUUUGGUUCAUAGUUUCAUGGGCCUAUUGUCAUUAGUGAGUUGGAGACGGAUUCUCCUGUAGCAAACACUUUGUUGGUAAUGUAUGUCCAGAACAGGUUUAUGGAUGAGGCUCCAUGUUUGUUUUAUGAGAUGAUAUCAACUGAUAUGAAACCCCGAUCACAUUCUCAAGUUUCCUUCCAUUGAUUUCUGAAGAGGCAACUCUUAGGCAAUGGAUGUGGAGGUGGCACACAAGGUUUUGAUCAAAGAACCCCUGUAUUGUUGUGGUAUGUACAACUAUGAUGUCAGGUUAUGUAUGAGAUAAGAUGAAUAACAAUGUCUUGGGAAGUUCUUAGUGGUUGCUUUAAAAGCAAAUGAGACCCAGUUCAGUAACAUUGGCAAAAGGGUCUUACCUACUGAUGCUAGUCUGGCUGUUUUGAAAAUGGGAAGGAGUUGCAUGGUCACAUACUUGAGGAUGGGCACAGAGGAAGCUGCCACGUAGGAAGUGCGAGGAUGGAAUUGCAUGCAAAUUGUGGAGAAAGAGUUAGAUUCAAAUUCCCAAUGCCUUGAUGUUAGAAAUGAAGAUCUUCUGCUCGAAUUGAAGAAAGGACUUUUGUAUCCUGAGUUUCAUUUUCUGCCAGCCAUACUUGAAAGCUAGCAUCCAGUGUGGACUUCAGCGUAUGUCCUAAUGAAAUUAUGUGUUGAAUGUGAUGUCAUGUUUCUUCAUGCAACACCAGUAGUCGAAGAAAAACAUGUCAUCCACCUACUUUUGGUACUCACCCUCUAGUUCUUCCUUUUUAGCAGCAAACCCCGCUUAGAGCUCCUCCAUUUCCUUCCUCAGCCGCUUGUUCUCCUGCUCAGAUUUCUUACACUAGGCCUCUACCGCCUCUCCCUCAUCUCUCAGCUAGCGGGCCUCAGCAUUGGCCACUUCCCUUUCCCUUUCUGCCUUCCUAAGCAACUCGGCUACCUCGUCAGCAACUUUCUGAGUAGUAGCAAGCUCGCUCUAUACUAGUUUCAACUUCAAGCGGAGCUCUUCACUAUCGUCCAUGUGCCUCAGCAACCUCCAGUAAUUUGAAGAGCAAAGCAUGCUGUCGUAUCAGAUUGCGAACGUCAGUCACCACUUGAAACGACAGUAAGGAAUAUGUUAAGCAAUCAAAGGCAAAAGUGUCAUGAACUAGAGAGGGGCAAGGCUUACAACUUCUGUCAUCUCAACGACUCUGUAAUCCUACAUAGGCAGGAUAUGGGAGGCGAUGGAAUCUAGGGUGUUGAAUGGGAGUCGGGCCACGAAGGAGAUGUUUGGGUCGCCGCUUAGGUCCAUCGAGACCCUUCGAGUAGUCGAGAAGAGGUCCCCUAUAUUAUUCACAAGACCCUCACUCUCUGUGAAACAGGGGACCUGCUUCAGCAGUUCAACCAUUUCUUUCCAGCUAGGAGCACGAGGGGUUUUAGGGCAUGGAGGGACAAAGGCCACACACUCAACGGAGUCGUCGCUGAGUUGGGCUAGACCAAUGGAGGGCUCGCCUAGCUCUAGGCAGGCAUUUUUUCCGGUAGAAGGCCUCACAGUCGGCACAUGACUGGGCCCUACACCAUCUACCGAAGGCUUUAGCACCGGAGGAAUGGCUAAGACGGGCAUCGGGCAGAGAACUUCUGAGCAGGGCUUCUUAGUAGGAGGAGGGACGACCAAAAUACAUUCAGAGAGGCGCUUGCGCUGCCUCUCCUAGAAGCCAACUCUCAGGUUUGCAGCCAUGUCCUCCUUUUCCUCUUCCUUAUAAACAAUGUGAAGUACAACUGGCUCAACUUCUAUUUCUAGCUCGAUUCCUACGGAAAAUGAGUCAGUCAAUAAGUCUUGUUCAGUGUUGGCUACAGAGGAAAAUGAAGCUACAAAAGAAGCUGAAGUAGAUGGAAAUGUGGGCGAUAGAGUUAGCGCCUUCUUAGUGGGUUGAAUGGUAAAUAUCUUCUUCUUAGCCAGAAGACGGACAUUAGAAUUGGAAGCCAGACGGUUUUCGCUUGGGGCUUGCUUUAAUGUCUCCUUCUAAUGCUUCUUCUCUCUUUGGUCUAGCUGGUCUUGGCAUGCCUUUGUGUCUUGCGCGGGUGCGACCUCGUAAAAAGGAAGGUUCUUCAGCACGUGGUGCUCGUCAGGCACUAGGACCUUAGAGGCCGAACGAGGAAGGAUGAGCAGGACAUAUGAAUUAGGCUCCCAGACCACAACCAAUAGAUUUUGAUCCAUCAGAAGGAUCAAAUGGUUCCACUUGUUUGAAGUUAUCUUGAACAGUUUGUUGAGACGGUCAAAGGAAGCCUUUUUCACCCAUUCCACGAGCCAAUUUCUCCUCUCCUUGCCUACACCACGCAAACAAAAACAUCAGUAACAAGCUUAUAACCAGUAAGCUAUAAGGGACACACAAAGACAGCUACAAUGAGUGGCGCGAGUGAAACUCUCGGUCAAGACCCUCGUAUAGGCCACCCAGGGACCAGAAACAAGGACGGCAUGCCCCCUGGCCCCGUCUUUGUUGGAAUCUGAAAACCCUAUCAGCAACUGGAGAGAGGGAAUAUGAGCGAACGGGUUGAAUAUUCAUUUCUGGCUCAUCUUGAUUGUAUAAAUAAAAAUGACCUCUAAGAAGGAGAGGUCCAAGUGAAAAAGCAUGUUUAAGAUGUUGCACCCCAUCAACACCCUAACAACGUUUGGGCGAAUGAAGACGAGAGAGAUCUUAGUAUAAUAAAGAACUGCUUAAAGAGAGAAGGCAAGGAAAAAUGGAGCUCGACAUUGAACUGCUUAUUGCUGAAAUAGAUGGCAUUGUGAGAUUGCUUCUCAGUAGGUGUAGGUUUGUCGUCUACCAAGAGUAUGGAGACACCGUUCGGGAUGCAAAAGAGUUCCCGGAACUCCCGUUCAAACAAAAGUUUGAUUGGAUGCUUUGUCUAAGUAUGUCUGGCACUUGCACUCUUCUAGCCACCUUUUUAGCCUCUACCAACCGUAUUGGUGGAAGCAAUGCCUCAUCUUGCUGACAUAUUGAGAGGCUUUGGGUCGUGUGAGACCUGCACGAUACAACGCCGAUAGUUAGAGAAUAGUCACCUGACCCUUCUGCUAAUAGGCAGUGCCUCAAAUGUAUAGCAAGUAGCCUACGCGGGUCUAAAGCCCACACUUUGGCAAGUUACCUAGUCUAGCUUGCAAAGCAAGCCCUAACCAAAGACACCCCCCCUGUACCACCACAACAACUGCAAAACAAAAUGCCUGGGUGUACUAUUUAAGGGACCAACAAAAAAGAAGCAGAUAUAGAAAGAUGUGAAAACCCUAACUCUAGCAAGAUCUAUCGGUCUUUCCCUCCAACUACAACUGACUUCUCUAGGAAAACACUAAAUCCCUACAUUUUGGAACUUGCAAUGUACACUUGGCAUCCAGAAAGUCACAGACUCCAAAAACGGCCCCAACAGCAAGCAAAUAAACAAUAAGAAACCAAUGCGAAAGGAGAGCAAACUUACCAAAGUCCAAAAGAGACGUCCGCUAACAGAAAUAAGGCUAGCCUGAAGCAAUUCUGGAAAUAGCAAUGACGCAACGGAAGAAAAACAACGAUCGAAGUUGCAAAAGCAAAAAUACAGAAAACUGGAAGAAGGAGAAGAACUCUAAAAAUAAAGAUAUUCAAAAAGGUAACCCAAAGAGUCUGGAGUCCCUUAUUUAUAGGAGACCAAAACCCUAGUUAUCCCAAAAGACAGGCUGCCUAAAAGCACACCCCUAAGCAACACGCCGCCUAACAGGUCGCCUAGGUAAAAGCGACCCACAUUUAAUCCCCCAAGCGACACGUGUCCCAAAGGCGCUGGAAUGAUUUGAAGAGACACUUAUCCACUUCUUUUCGGACAUAGGUGCAUGGAUUUAAAGGGGGCAUUAUAGGGACUCUUCUCCACGUGUCACCCUCCUUUAACACUGACCAAAUAGGGACCGCAGUGUCCGAAGUUUUCCAUCCGGACCAUGAGGUCAGACAUCAAGCACAAUCGAACUUCCUAAGUGGACGGAACCAUCCAGUCAGCCUUCAAGGUCCAUUGACCUGCGUAAUCAUUCAUAUAUAGCAGAUGAGUGACUAAUGGGGCAUACCUCAACCAUCAAGUCGAUGUCAACUAAUUACUGCACACAACCCCACACCUCCAACAGGUUGAAGGGACGGGUAACUAUACGAUCAUACAUUAUACCAUAUCUUUUGACGGCACCUGCUAAGCACCUAGAGUUAUAAUGAUUACCCUACCACUUGUAGGAUUGUCAUCAUUACAAGAAAGUCAAAUUUCUUAGUCAGCACUAUAGGGGCCUCCUUCUGGGAACUAUAAAAACCCUCCUUAAGCAUAAACAAGGUAUGCGCGCUUAAAUUAGCCCACACAUUCUCUCAUUCAAAAAGUCUUACCUAUCUUUAUCUAACUUAAGCUUCGAAGGGGCGUGCCCGGACCACUUGUUCGAACAUCCUUUGUGAAGAAAAGAAACUCACCUAGUCCCCCAACACUAGGCAAAAACUUUGAGAGGCACAACAUAAGGAGGAUAUGACUCCAGUUGACCUUGCAUCAAAACACAUCCCUAAUUAGGGAUAGUUUUUCAUGUUUGAACACAUUUCUUUUUAAUUUUAUUUUUAUAUCACAAAAAUGGAAACAAAGAUAAUCUCAUUCACAAAAGACAACUCUUAUGGAGUUGAUAUGAGUUUCUAAUUUGAUACUUGAAAAGUUGAAACAUAAACUUUUACCUUUGAUACCAUUGAAAUUCUCCUAUAGUGUCGUUCAUUUGAAAUGUCCUAAGCUUAGGUCAUUAUUUUCCAAAGGAAAUUUCCUAUUCUAAACAAAAUGUCUAAAUAAGAAAAAAAUGAUAUUGAUUCAAAACUACGUAAAUCCCAUGUUCUACUAUUUCGUUGGCUAUAUGAGUUGGAACUAAAUUCUGUUUUCCUUACACAAAAAUAGAAGCAGAUACCUUUCUUCCUUCCUUUGUUUCAUGCAGGUAUGCCUGCCUACUCACAAAAAAAACAAUGGUUAUAUAAAUGGUUCAACAAUAGUGUUAGUUGUUAUAUAUUGACGAAAAUUUCCUUUUUGUAUGUAGGAGGAAAAGAACAACAAGGGUGAUGAAUUAAAAAAAAUUCCAACCAAAGCUCUACCGAUUCAAAUAGUGGUUUGUUAAUGACAUCAACUGUAGAUGAUGGUUUUUUCUCUUUCUUUUCAAGUAAGUCUGAUAGUUUUCUGCUCUGGAGGUUGAUAUGCUUAUAUUUCAUUUCAUUGUGAUCACUAUAGCUUUUCAUUGAUGGUUUCACUAGAGAUUGAUUUGGAAUGCAAUUAUGUAUUGGCAUUCUUUUGGGUUUUGUUCCUUACAGUGCUCUUUUCCUCAGUUCUCCUUUCUUCGUACAAUAUAAUAUGUAUAUUUGUAUGUAUGAUUUUUCAAGAUGAAAGAGACUUGAUCAACAUCCUAUUACCUUUUACAACAUUUUGACCACUAACAUCACCUCUGUAUAGUUCAAGCAUCGCUUAUGAACUCCUUUGCCACAAAAAAAAAAAAAAAGGCAUGUGUGCAUCUUGAGCUCUAGUAAGAUAUAUUUUAGUUGCACAAAACCUUUAGGCUCCAUUUGGAUUAUUAAAAGAGCUAAGGACAAUCAUGGUACAACCGAUCAAAAUUCUCUUAUUUGGUUUACCAUGGAAAGUACAAAGCAAAAUCAAGUAUAAUCAAAUUUGACUAAAAUUUUACAUAUUUUUAAAUUCUUCAUUUUUUACAUAGAUGAUGAAAAAAACAUGUGUUUGAAGAAACAUGGAAUAAUUUUUUUUUUAAGUUUAAUAUCUAUUUUAUUACCUUUCUUCGUCUUUACUUUCAUUCCACUUUCUCCUCAUUUUUUGCCUUCAAACUUUCCAUGAUCCAAACAAAGUCCCACUAUUUUUUAUUUUAGGCCUUUCACAAAAAUUUCUAUGAAAGAGUAAGAAGGAUGUGUUUGAAAGUUUUUAAAAUAAAACAUAUAUUACACUUAAUAAACACGAAGUAAUUUCCUCUUUGACCAAUAAUCUUCCCCUUUUUGACCAUAUCGUUGUUGGUGCAUGCAUGAUGUGCUUAACAAAUAUCCUAGCACAGCAAGAACUGUAGGGCGAUGUUUAAGGUUGUAAAUGUAAUUGUAUUACAAAGUAGAAAAGUUUUUAAUUGUGAUGUUUUUUGAUUCGUACUUAUUUUGGUGUCUAGACUUAAUCUUGUGCAUGACAUUUCCUCUAUGUUGCAGAGUUCGCCUUUGGUCAGACAAAAAUGAUCAAUGAAUGUCAUGAUAAAGGUUUUCCUGGAGGCUUCCUGUUAAUCAAUUCGACCUUAACUUUCUCUGGGUUUGGGAAUGAUUGGGAAUAAUUGUAAAGUGCUUGUGGAGGGAUUUCACAUGGCAAAGAAUGGGAAAUAAGUUAAUACUUAGAAUCGUGGAUGAUUUUCUCACCAUAGUGGGUUCAAGUACGAGAAGGUUGGGGUCAUUAAAUGAGGCCUUAUUAGGCAAAUGGAUUUAUCUGCAGUGGGAACCCAUUGUGGAGGAAGAUGGUAAGAAGAAAGUAUUGGAGGAAAAUGAGGUAAAGGUUAUUUGGUGAGUUUGCAGAAAGACAUUGGAAAUGGUUGUCAAAAAAUUUGAUAAACCUACAACACACACAUGAUUAAGGUGAUAAGAACAAGCUUAGAUUUCGGCCAGAUGUUUUGUACAGUGAUAGGAUCCUAAAUUGAAUCCUAUCCAUACCCAAUGAAAUUUGUCAUGAGAUGCAGAGUGGAGCCGGAGAGAGCUUUUCUUUGAAGGAAGCAUAAGAUAGUAGGGUGUCAAGUAAGGUAUCAAUUCUCAUGGGGAAAGCCCAUUCAAAUAGAGUUACUGUUACUGAUAAUAAGGUGAACAGAGGAAAGACCCCUCCCAAAUUGCUUCUAUUAGAUUAUUAAAUAGGUGGAAAAAACAGUAGAUUAGUUGGUGAUGCAUUUUUUGGUGGCUGCAGGUUAAUGGCAAUCUUGGGUGUUGUGGAUGAUGCCUCAGACUUUAUAAGGAGUUGUUAUCAGGUUGUCAUAGAAGAGUUGUUGCUUAGACCCAGAGUACUAUGUGGAUGACAAUGAUUUUAAGUUUUUAGUCUAGAAUGGUUGGAGAAAAAAGAAAUAGAAGAAAUUCUUAAGGGAAAGAGGUUCCUUUAACAUAUAAGAACAAAGGGGGUUCUGUCAUGAGUUUUCUUGAUGAUGUACAACUUUCCAAUGUAUUCUCUUCCCUUGAUAGUUAUCUUUUUAUCUUUUUCCUUUUCUAUUUCCUUUUGGGAUCCACAUAUACACUAUGAAUCAUCUAUUUGCUUUAGACUCUUCUGUAUAGAGUAAUUAAGAACAUAUUGCCUUUAUUCAUUGGAUCCUUAUAAACACUUGUUUUCAUUUAGUAAGAUGAGUCCAUUUAUAGUUCAUUGGCUUACAAUAAGAUUUUUUCCAAAAUUUCAGGGCAUUCAUGUUUGGACACAUUCUCC